CCUACGGGAGGCAGCAGUGAGGAAUAUUGGUCAAUGGGCGCUAGCCUGAACCAGCCAAGUAGCGUGAAGGAUGACUGCCCUAUGGGUUGUAAACUUCUUUUAUAUGGGAAUAAAGUGCAGUAUGUAUACUGCUUUGCAUGUACCUUAUGAAUAAGGAUCGGCUAACUCCGUGCCAGCAGCCGCGGUAAUACGGAGGAUCCGAGCGUUAUCCGGAUUUAGUGGGUGUAAAGGGAGCGUAGGCGGGUUGAUAAGUCAGUUGUGAAAGUUUGCGGCUCAACCGUAAAAUUGCAGUUGAUACUGGCCUCCUUGAGUACAGUAGAGGUAGGCAGAAUUCGUGGUGUAGCGGUUAAAUGCUUCUAUAUCACGAAGAACUCCGAUUGCGAAGGCAGCCUGCUGGACUGUAACUGACGCUGAUGCUCGAAAGUGUGGGUAUCAAACAGGAUUAGAUACCCCAGUAGUC
Molecule: ribosomal RNA, 460 nt
Filed under: uncultured bacterium
Lineage: Bacteria
Description: partial 16S ribosomal RNA
Rfam family: Bacterial small subunit ribosomal RNA
Source: RNAcentral